Long non-coding RNA from Mercenaria mercenaria, 881 nucleotides. RefSeq lists it as uncharacterized. The record is from RefSeq and is a predicted model, not a curated record. Lineage: Eukaryota; Metazoa; Mollusca; Bivalvia; Venerida; Veneridae. The transcript has 2 exons.
ACAGGUUUUGACAACUCAUUGUGAAACCUUCGGUUUGAUGAACGUAAGUCCCUGGGAGCUUUUAACUUCCAUAAAGUACUGAGAAAAUACAUAUUUAACUUUCAAAAUAUCUUAAAAAACCUUAACAAAAGCUUUACACCCGGACCGAAAAACAAUUUACAAAAUAGUUUUAGCCUCCGGUUUAAAGCCGAUAUUGACUUUACAGUGUAAACAGAUAUUGGGUUUCCAUUAUAGUAUUUCGCAAUAUUGCAUCAGCCGGUUACGACUAGUUUUAUCAAUACACAUAACAUUCUUUACUGUUUUAAGUAUUAUAACGAAAAAAGUGGAAUUUAAGCAACUGAAAUGUAUUCAAGAAUUCUACAAAGAUAUUAUUAGCCAGACGAAUUACAACGUGAAAAAUCCAAGACUUUAUAAAGACAACGAACGUUUAACACAAAAUAUAUCAUCGGAAGACUUCAAGAAAAGAAUGUUAACCAUAGCAUGGUUGAAUAUCAUAAUACUUUCAUGUUGUUAGAAUCACUCAACCAUAGGAUUAUACCAUAAUCGUACGCAUGGUUGAAUAUCAUAAUACUUUCAUGUUGUGAGAAUUACUCAACCAUAGGAUUAUACCAUAAUCAUACGCAUGGCUUAAUGUUAUGAUAUUUUGAUGUUGUUGAAAUCACUCAACCGUUUGAGUAUGCCAUAGGCAUAUGCAUGAUUGAAUAUACGCUUUUGGGAGUAGUAUGGAAUAUAACGUUUAUGGGUACAUUUUGAUAGUAGUAAAGAAUAUUGUGUUUUUGAUACAUUUUAACCCUUUUUAUUAAAAUAAUUUAUAAUUGUUUGUUCAUUAUGUUUUACAUUGUUUACUCUCAGUGUUUUAUACAAUAAAUCAUAAAUGUUUA